AGUGGAAGUUUUCGCGAGUGAGGGGUUCACCGAGCGCUCUUUCUCUCUCCUCUUUCUUCCCCUUCUCCUAGGGCUCCGAAUCGAUCGUCGUCGGAGACUCUCGCCGAUUCCUCGAGCGCUCCCUUCCGAUUUCUAGGAGCCGAUUGGGAUUGUGAGUUCGCGUCCCCGCUUUCAGAUCUGCAGCGAGUAAUUGGCUGGUCGAUUGCCGGCUCACCUGAUAGUCCUAGGUGGGUGGCAUUGGGGCAACUAAAUAAGGGGGUUCUUAGCGUGUUUUCGCCUGAACUUGGUGGUUUAGUAUCAUGAAUAUUGAAUGUGCGUGACAUUGUUGAGUUAGCGGAUGCGCUUUAUUGUAAAUGAUUUUCUUUCGGGGUCUGACACCUUUUUUUUUUUUUUUUUUGCAUUAUCUAUUGAAUUUGACUUCUCACGGGUAACGAAUUAUUCAAGUUGGCAAGAUUUGGAAGAAUUGAUUAAAAAGAUGUGCUUUUGGAACCCUUUUGUGGAAGCUUGGAGUUUAUUUCUGUGGAAGAAUUGAUAAAAAUAUGUCUUUUCAAAGUAUUACUCAAGGAUUACCUCAAAAGAGACUUGCAGAGCUGUUAUACCUCAGCAUACGAGUUGAUUAUGUUGAACAUUUGUUUAUAUUCUUCAUCAAUGUCGAUCUUUAUGAAUGAUUGCCUAGAGCCUUCAUUUAACCCUGAGCAGCCUCUCUGCUUGUGAUCCUUGUGGGGCAUGGUUUCUGGACUUGGAUACAAGUCCAAAAAAAAGUGGAAAAGAAGUUUUGGUGCCUUGAAAGUUAAAGGCUUGUCAUGAGGUUGAGAAUGUUAUCUUCGCGGUUUCAUUUUGUAAACAUUUCUGACCAAUAUAUAUGUGUGGACUUCACUUUGUUAACUUCUGCUCAUGAAAUUUGUAGCUGUAAGUGUCAUUGUCUGGCAUUUCAAACCAUUUCUUGUCCCAUGGAGCCUAAAAUUCCGAUGCCCUUUAGAAGGGCGGGAGGAGUUUUGCUAUCACUCACCAUUUCCUGUGUUACCAAAGUAUAUCUUGCGAUUAGAGCUUUCUUAUCGUGUUCCGAAU
This 1068-nucleotide long non-coding RNA is filed under the name Eucalyptus grandis. RNAcentral describes it as "long non-coding RNA (EGRA_LNC001448)". The record is from RNAcentral. Lineage: Eukaryota; Viridiplantae; Streptophyta; Magnoliopsida; Myrtales; Myrtaceae.